GAUGAACGCUGGCGGCGUGCCUAAUACAUGCAAGUCGAGCGAACAGACGAGGAGCUUGCUCCUCUGACGUUAGCGGCGGACGGGUGAGUAACACGUGGAUAACCUACCUAUAAGACUGGGAUAACUUCGGGAAACCGGAGCUAAUACCGGAUAAUAUAUUGAACCGCAUGGUUCAAUAGUGAAAGACGGUUUUGCUGUCACUUAUAGAUGGAUCCGCGCCGCAUUAGCUAGUUGGUAAGGUAACGGCUUACCAAGGCAACGAUGCGUAGCCGACCUGAGAGGGUGAUCGGCCACACUGGAACUGAGACACGGUCCAGACUCCUACGGGAGGCAGCAGUAGGGAGUCUUCCGCAAUGGGCGAAAGCCUGACGGAGCAACGCCGCGCGAGUGAUGAAGGUCUUCGGAUCGUAAAACUCUGUUAUUAGGGAAGAACAAAUGUGUAAGUAACUAUGCACGUCUUGACGGUACCUAAUCAGAAAGCCACGGCUAACUACGUG
This 497-nucleotide ribosomal RNA is filed under the name uncultured bacterium. RNAcentral's name for it is "partial 16S ribosomal RNA". It matches the Rfam family "Bacterial small subunit ribosomal RNA", at positions 28 to 507 of the family's 1533-position model. The record is from RNAcentral.